CUUGUCCCUAGAGGAGUUGCAGGUGUGGCUGCUGUGUCACAUGGGUGUCAGUAGGUGGCAGAGAGGAGAGAGGUUAUGUCUAUGCUCAGUGUUCUGAUGUGUGAAUCUCUGAAUGAAAGGUAGCUUAACAGA
This 132-nucleotide small nucleolar RNA is filed under the name Mus caroli (Ryukyu mouse). RNAcentral describes it as "predicted gene, 24709 (MGP_CAROLIEiJ_G0036535.1)". It matches the Rfam family "Small nucleolar RNA SNORA17". From Rfam's summary of the family: snoRNA ACA 17 belongs to the H/ACA family of snoRNAs and is predicted to guide pseudouridylation of the 28S rRNA at positions U4659 and U4598. Lineage: Eukaryota; Metazoa; Chordata; Mammalia; Rodentia; Muridae. The record is from RNAcentral.